RNAcentral lists this ribosomal RNA (157 nucleotides) under uncultured Glomus. RNAcentral describes it as "5.8S ribosomal RNA". It matches the Rfam family "5.8S ribosomal RNA". Rfam says of the family: 5.8S ribosomal RNA (5.8S rRNA) is a component of the large subunit of the eukaryotic ribosome. Lineage: Eukaryota; Fungi; Glomeromycota; Glomeromycetes; Glomerales; Glomeraceae. The record is from RNAcentral.
UCACUUUCAACAACGGAUCUCUUGGCUCUCGCAUCGAUGAAGAACGUAGCGGAGUGCGAUAAGUAAUGUGAAUUGCAGAAUUCCGUGAGUCAUCGAAUCUUUGAACGCAAAUUGCACUCUCUGGUAUUCCGGGGAGUAUGCCUGUUUGAGGGUCAGU